UUUUCCCUAAUUUUCAACUUCAAGAUAGAACAUUCUCAUUAAAUAUCUGGUCAUGAAAUGACGUGGAAAUUAUUAUUAUGCAACUCUCUAUUACAUCGGAAUUUGUUCAAUGCGAAAAUAUUAUUUAAAUCGAUAUACCAAAACAACUGCUAGCUAUGUGAUUCAAGAGGUAUAUUCUCAUUACUUGAGUGCCACUCCCAUUAUCACUCCCAUCCUGAUUACUCGGACCAUUGCUCCCACAGUCAUAAAGCUCAUCGCUGCUGUCAGAAUUGUUUUUAGACUCUUUUCAUUACUUUUUGUCUCCAUGGAUUUUUUAGUUUGUGUCCCACUUUCACUUCCACUACCACUAGA
This 351-nucleotide unclassified non-coding RNA is filed under the name Hevea brasiliensis (rubber tree). The record is from RNAcentral. Lineage: Eukaryota; Viridiplantae; Streptophyta; Magnoliopsida; Malpighiales; Euphorbiaceae.